GGUCAAGUGACGAAGCGUACACGGUGGAUGCCUUGGCAGCCAGAGGCGAUGAAGGACGUUGUAGCCUGCGAUAAGCUUCGGGGAGUCGGCAAACAGACUUUGAUCCGGAGAUUUCCGAAUGGGGAAACCCA
Molecule: ribosomal RNA, 131 nt
Filed under: Alloalcanivorax dieselolei
Lineage: Bacteria; Pseudomonadati; Pseudomonadota; Gammaproteobacteria; Oceanospirillales; Alcanivoracaceae
Description: Alcanivorax dieselolei partial 23S ribosomal RNA
Rfam family: Bacterial large subunit ribosomal RNA
Source: RNAcentral